This 120-nucleotide ribosomal RNA is filed under the name uncultured bacterium. Its description in RNAcentral is "partial 16S ribosomal RNA". It matches the Rfam family "Bacterial small subunit ribosomal RNA", at positions 796 to 914 of the family's 1533-position model. The record is from RNAcentral.
CACGCCGUAAACGAUGAGUACUAGGUGUAGGGGGUAUCGACUCCCCCUGUGCCGCAGUUAACACAAUAAGUACUCCGCCUGGGAAGUACGAUCGCAAGAUUAAAACUCAAAGGAAUUGAC